Molecule: long non-coding RNA, 380 nt
Organism: Dreissena polymorpha
Lineage: Eukaryota; Metazoa; Mollusca; Bivalvia; Myida; Dreissenidae
Exons: 3
Source: RefSeq, a predicted model, not a curated record
AGAAUGACGGAACACCGGUAGAUACCACAGAAACGGAUUCUUCAGAGACAAAAAAACAUACAACCAUUAUCGGUGGUUGUGCUGAAGAGGUGCCAUUUGUAGAGCGAGGAUUACAAAAUACCAAUGCUAACACGAGCAUCGAAGGCGAUCAAAUUGUUACACAAGCAAUCGGUCAAUGCAUUAGCGCUGACGAUGAAAACAAUUUGCCUGGUUCAUGUACAUCUGUGAAGAUCGAACAAAACUUCAAUGGCAAGACUGCGGACACGGAAACACGGAAUAUUGCUGAUAAAUGUUCAUUCGGUACGGAAAAGUUUUGUGCUCGAGCGGGAAAUAACAGUGAAGUCGAGAUUGCACGGAAUACUGAUAUGAGUAAUGAUACG